UGGUACCCUUCUUUGAAUAGUGGACAGGAAAGUAACUUGCUGCUUGCUUGCCUGUAACUCUUUUGCUUUUGGUUACUUUGUACCAACUUUGGAAGUCAUGGACUAAUCUGUGCUUCCAUUAGCUUUGCUACAGCGUUGUGAUAAAUGGCUUUCUGAAUUGUUUUUAGGAGCUUGGAAAUCCUUCAAAUUGCUUGAAAGCCCCAUAGAAAACUUUUUCACAUGCAGGUUGGCUUCUGAUGUUUCAGGAAGCAAGCGUAGCAUGGCAGCAUAGGUCUGUAGAUGUAAGCCCCUGGGGAGUGGACACAGGAGGAUCAGCAAUUUGAGGGUAGUCUAGGUUAGUUACAUGGUGAGACCAGUUUUUAAAAAAACAUGGUGUUACACACCUUUAAUGUCAGCAUUCAGGAACAAAGAGGCAGGCAAAUUUCUGUGAGUUCAAGGCCAGCCUGAUCUGGACGAUGGGUUCCAGGCCACUUACAGCUAUGUAUAAGUAAAAACAAGUGGUGGCUUGAGAUUAAGCACUGAGAAGACUGAAGCGGAAGGCUCACCAUGAGCGUGAGGCUAGCCUGCAUAGGCUACACAGCAAGAUCUAGUCAAAAACAAAAAAAAAAACACAAAAAUGAAGGAAUCCUUUUUUUUUUUUUUUUUUUCUCUCAGAGCUGGGGACCGAACCCAGGGCAUUGGCUUGCUAGGCAAGUGCUCUACCACUGAGCUAAAUCCCCAACCCCAAAUGAAGGAAUUCUUAAUGACCUUCCUGCCUCAGCUUCCCAAGUGAUUGAAUUAGAAAUAAAGGUAUGGAAUAC
RNAcentral lists this long non-coding RNA (800 nucleotides) under Rattus norvegicus (Norway rat). RNAcentral describes it as "long non-coding RNA NONRATT023503". The record is from RNAcentral. Lineage: Eukaryota; Metazoa; Chordata; Mammalia; Rodentia; Muridae.